Molecule: long non-coding RNA, 657 nt
Organism: Lynx canadensis (Canada lynx)
Lineage: Eukaryota; Metazoa; Chordata; Mammalia; Carnivora; Felidae
Exons: 2
Source: RefSeq, a predicted model, not a curated record
AUGAAAUGGAAGUAACUUGCCAAGCUUGUACAGAGCUGACUCCAAAUUUUGGGCUCUUAACUCAAAAGGUUUACUGAAUAUCAUAUACUAUGGAGACAAUCUCUCAAGAUGCAGACUAGAGGCCUGGGGCUCCAAUGACUUCUGAGUGAAACUCAUGAGUGAGUGCAGAGGAGGGAGGCGUUUGGGAGGGCAGGCAUCCCUGCAGCACAAUUCCAGGGAGCUGAGUCUACAGCACUGAAAUGCUUUGGGGUUCCCUGGGCAUUUCUCUUUGUGGCUGUGGCCCGCUCAGGACAUUUGUGGCUCUUGGAAGUGGAGUCAGCUAGGAAGUCUGUCACCUAUGAUGCCAAGGUCUCUGGGAAGUAGGCCUGCUGGGAAAACAGUCCACGUUGUGUCUCAUGACCAGGAACAGCUUGAGAGACUGCUAUACUUGUCGAGCCCUGCAAGUGGUGACUGUCAAUGAGAUCAUCUGGAAGGCCUGAAGGCUUGGACCCAUGGCCUGUCUGCUACCCAUACACUUAUGCAUGUGCAGGCACACACACACACAUACGUGCACUCAUGUGUGCCAAACUCGCAUUGAUCUCUAACUGCCAGUUUGUCCCAAUCAGUGUCUUGGUCCAGGAGUGAGAUGACAAGUAAAAUAAACAUACCUCCUCUUUA